Molecule: ribosomal RNA, 460 nt
Filed under: uncultured bacterium
Lineage: Bacteria
Description: partial 16S ribosomal RNA
Rfam family: Bacterial small subunit ribosomal RNA
Source: RNAcentral
CCUACGGGGGGCUGCAGUGAGGAAUAUUGGUCAAUGGGCGCGAGCCUGAACCAGCCAAGUAGCGUGAAGGAUGACGGCCCUACGGGUUGUAACCUUCUUUUAUAAAGGAAUAAAGUGAGGCACGUGUGCCUUUUUGUAUGUACUUUAUGAAUAAGGCUCGGCUAACUCCGUGCCAGCAGCCGCGGUAAUACGGAGGAUCCGAGCGUUAUCCGGAUUUAUUGGGUUUAAAGGGAGCGUAGAUGGGUUGUUAAGUCAGUUGUGAAAGUUUGCGGCUCAACCGGAAAAUUGCAAUUGAUACUGGCAGUCUUGAGUACAGUUGAGGUAGGCGGAAUUCGUGGUGUAGCGGUGAAAUGCUUAGAUAUCACGAAGAACUCCGAUUGCGAAGGCAGCUUACUAAUCUUCCACUGACAUUGAUGCUCGAAAGUGUGGGUAUCAAACAGGAUUAGAUACCCUGGUAGUC